CCUACGGGAGGCAGCAGUGGGGAAUUUUGGACAAUGGGCGCAAGCCUGAUCCAGCAAUGCCGCGUGCAGGAUGAAGGCCUUCGGGUUGUAAACUGCUUUUGUACGGAGCGAAACGGUCUGCUUUAAUACAGUAGGCUAAUGACGGUACCGUAAGAAUAAGCACCGGCUAACUACGUGCCAGCAGCCGCGGUAAUACGUAGGGUGCGAGCGUUAAUCGGAAUUACUGGGCGUAAAGCGUGCGCAGGCGGUUAUAUAAGACAGAUGUGAAAUCCCCGGGCUCAACCUGGGACCUGCAUUUGUGACUGUAUAGCUAGAGUACGGUAGAGGGGGAUGGAAUUCCGCGUGUAGCAGUGAAAUGCGUAGAUAUGCGGAGGAACACCGAUGGCGAAGGCAAUCCCCUGGACCUGUACUGACGCUCAUGCACGAAAGCGUGGGGAGCAAACAGGAUUAGAUACCCUGGUAGUCCACGCCCUAAACGAUGUCAACUGGUUGUUGGGUCUUCACUGACUCAGUAACGAAGCUAACGCGUGAAGUUGACCGCCUGGGGAGUACGGCCGCAAGGUUGAAACGUCAAAUGAAUUGACGGCUGAGAGNGCGAGGCGACGACGAGGGAGGAGG
RNAcentral lists this ribosomal RNA (618 nucleotides) under uncultured bacterium. Its description in RNAcentral is "bacterial SSU rRNA". It matches the Rfam family "Bacterial small subunit ribosomal RNA", at positions 338 to 947 of the family's 1533-position model. The record is from RNAcentral.